AUCUGCUGUGUAAUAAAAAAUGAACUGUCAGAAGCCGUCUAGUUUUGAUAUAUCACAUUGAAAGAGAGCAGUACAUGGAGCUUAGAGGGUGGCCAUUAUGACUAGAGUAGCUUAUCUCCAUCUGUGACUUGUCAAGAUAAAUUUGGAGGGGAUGUUUUUAUUGUUUGGUGCUUUAAGACUACCCACUCUGUCUCAUUGCUGCUUCUUUACAAACCCUAAAUAUCUAAAGUAAUGGUUUCUGUGUUACUGUGACCAUGAUACAAGACAGUAGCAAAGAGGGGAGGUUUGUGGGGUAUUUUCCCUUUAGACAUAUUGGAGUUUCCCUAAAAACAUUUGGCAGGGACUCAAAGUCAUGAUGGACCAGGGAACUAAAAAGGAGCCAGCCACAAGCUACAGUAUAGGCCAACCUCUUAACUUUGAAAGGCCCUCCCCUAGAGACCUACUUCUGAGAAGGUCCCACCUUUAAAAUCUCUUCCCCACCAGUAGGAAAUAAGUAUCCCAAAAGCCAAAAUAAUGACUUGGCUGGUCUGCUUUGGAUCUUAUCUUGAAUUGUCCCGGAGGUAGUUUAAUUCUGAUUCUCCAUUUAAAUAGCAGUCAUUGAUUACUAAAAAUUAUAAAUUUAAUCUCAUGUGAGGGCCUGUAGAUAUCAAUUCCUAUCAAACCUAGAAAUACAACUCAUUUAAUUAACACUACUUAAAGAAUAAUUAUUGCCGCAGACCCUCUGGGCCCUUUUGUCUGCAUGGAAUGGGUCUCUAGGUGCAGGUGGGCAAAGCGUUGGAUGAAAGAAGGGAGCCAGGUGCAAACUAGUCUUGUAAAACCCACCACCAGGGGUUCUGCACUAGCAGACCUUAUCAUGAAUACUGCAAUGCCCCAACACCCUAUUUCCUGGGUCUAGAGAAGAAUAUACUAACUUGCUUCUAAUAUGAAGCUCUAUACCAAGCUGUAGAGAAGAUCUCUGUCUCGGUGGGAUUCCCUAGCUCUAUUGUUCCCUAGUUUGGGUGAGAAUUGCUACUGUCCUUGGUAAAUAUUUUGUAGACCAGCUCUGACCUACUGUCUUUGUAAUGCUUAAUUAUUAACUGAAUAGGUAACUUCCUUUCUGCAGUCCUGCGGGAUUUCAAGCUCUUCAAGCUUGCAGGCUUCUGGGACCUUGGAACAAUGUGAAGGCUUAAUUAUAACAGAAUUUAAUCUUAAAAAGCAUUUAUAAUAAAAUAUUAAAAG
RNAcentral lists this long non-coding RNA (1218 nucleotides) under Mus musculus (house mouse). RNAcentral's name for it is "long non-coding RNA chr13:90107851-90109069". Lineage: Eukaryota; Metazoa; Chordata; Mammalia; Rodentia; Muridae. The record is from RNAcentral.